AGAGGAAGUUAGAGACUUAAACUGUGCAUAUGUUUGAUCCUGAACUGUAGGAAUUGCUUGACUCUAUAUGCUGUGUGGCUGAUGAAGUGGAAGAAGCCAUCAUUUAUUUGACUGCCAGUUCAGCUUCAGAUGAUCAAAUACUGUUUGACAUGGCAUAAGAACCCUGAUUCACUAUAACAUAGGGAACAGUUCAUUACUGGCAUGAGCGGGGACUAGAUGAUGUACCAGAUCUCUUCCAUCUCUACUUUCUGUGAUUCUAUGGGCACACACUGUACAUCAGCUAAAACUUUUGAAAGAUUAAAAGCUUCAACCAUCAUUUUCGGCAGUCAGAGUAUAGCUGGAGCACAGGAUGAUCUGGCCAUACAUCCUCACUCCUAAUCACACUGGACAUUUGAAGGAGGGUGACACAAACUUUAGAAG
This is a long non-coding RNA of Mauremys mutica (yellowpond turtle), 420 nucleotides long. RefSeq lists it as uncharacterized. The transcript has 3 exons. NCBI's taxonomy places the organism in Eukaryota, Metazoa, Chordata, Testudines, Geoemydidae. The record is from RefSeq and is a predicted model, not a curated record.